This 408-nucleotide unclassified non-coding RNA is filed under the name soil metagenome. RNAcentral's name for it is "partial contains 5.8S ribosomal RNA, internal transcribed spacer 2, and large subunit ribosomal RNA". The stretch from base 1 to 120 matches the Rfam family "5.8S ribosomal RNA", at positions 35 to 154 of the family's 154-position model. The record is from RNAcentral.
GAUGAAGAACGCAGCGAAAUGCGAUAAGUAAUGUGAAUUGCAGAAUUCAGUGAAUCAUCGAAUCUUUGAACGCACCUUGCGCUCCUUGGUAUUCCUUGGAGCAUGCCUGUUUGAGUAUCAUGAAAUUCUCAAAACAAACCUUCUGUUAAUUCAUUGGGUUCUGUUUUGGACUUGGAGGCCUUGCGGAUUCACGUCUGCUCCUCUUAAAAGCAUUAGCUGGAUCUCAGUGAGCUCGGUUCCACUCGGCGUGAUAAGUAUCACUCGCUGAGGACACCCGUAAAAAAGGUGGCCGGGAUUUGCAGAUGAACCGCUUCUAAUAGUCCAUUGAAUUGGACAACAUACUUUAUGAUCUGAUCUCAAAUCAGGUAGGACUACCCGCUGAACUUAAGCAUAUCAAUAAGCGGAGGA